UCUCCCUUAAAUGUCAAUAACAAAAUUAGCAAAUAAGGUGCUUAUUAAAUCACGAAAUCAACUACAAAUAUAGUUAAAACUACAACAUAAUGCAUACUGUGCAACAGAACAUCAAAUACAUUCCUUAGAGAUAUCUAUAUUGUCUAAGCGCAUCUUCAUCCUAUCACUAACAACUAGUUCUGCACUGAAACUUCUUUGAUUUCACGAUUUCUAGCCUUGAAUAAAGUUACACUCUGAAUUUAAGCACUGCCUCCAUAUCUACAGCAUCCCUUUUUUUUAUCAAUUUUGUUUCAUAG
This 296-nucleotide long non-coding RNA is filed under the name Solanum tuberosum (potato). RNAcentral describes it as "long non-coding RNA (STUB_LNC001442)". Lineage: Eukaryota; Viridiplantae; Streptophyta; Magnoliopsida; Solanales; Solanaceae. The record is from RNAcentral.